CUAAAACGAAGCCUGUGAUGACAAGACCAGCAAGUAGGUGCGCGGUUCCCUCACAACCUGCAGCACACCGCUGCGCUUCCCUGUUCUUACAAAGCCUCAGGAUCAAGAAUGUGGAGCUACAGUUCCUGACCAGGUAUCCAAGAAACCACUACUACCGUGCCCAGAUGAGAUGUAAAACUGAACUCCCAGCCACGUGAAGACAAUGUAGGACAACAACUCUUACCUGAAGCAUUCUCGCAGCACUGAUUGCCUAGAAGCACUAAGGUAUGCAAACCUAACUCAUCAGCUGCCAGGAGCAACACAUCCAGCUCUCACCACCUGAAAAGAGGAAUAGAAGGGUACAUCUUGGAAAUCUUGUUUUCAGCUGGGCUGCCUUUCAGUGCCUGGGGCUCAAUCUAAGUGAUUUACUGCCCAGUAGUAACUAUUGCCCAGAAGUUGCACCCAUAAAAAUUAAUAAAUGCUUUAUAACACA
This is a long non-coding RNA of Pogoniulus pusillus (Red-fronted tinkerbird), 472 nucleotides long. RefSeq lists it as uncharacterized. The record is from RefSeq and is a predicted model, not a curated record. The transcript is spliced from 2 exons. Lineage: Eukaryota; Metazoa; Chordata; Aves; Piciformes; Lybiidae.